AAAAUUAGUUGUGUGAAUUUUUUCUGGACCCCACAGUUUUAAUCAGUAUUUGUUCUUGUUGAAGGACACAUUACAUGUCACUCAAUAUGCUAUUUUCCAUAGAGAUCUUAGUAGUUUUGCACAGUUAAUUGUUUAAAAGUUUGGUAGUUUGGACACUCAAUUAUUUGUCAGCAUUUAAUCAAAUAAAUUAUAGUCUCCUAGUAGGGGAAAUUCAAAUAUCAUGACUGGCAUAUGAUGACAAUUUAAAAGAUGGCUAGGUCCUCGAUUUCUAACUUACUCUGUUUGAUCACCUACAUAUAUGUUAAAUAUAUGUCAAUUCCCUCAGAUACUUUGCAGAUAUUUGAAAGAAGUCCCUACAUAUCUGUGAAAUAUGUACAAACAUAAUUGCAGAUAUUCUGCAAAUAUGAAUAAAACCAUUACAGACAUUGUGCAGUACUGUAACAUAUGAGACAGAUAGUUGCAGAUACUUUACAUAUCUGUCCAUUCGGUAAGGGAUACUGGAUUUGGUAUGAAAGUCAGGCAAGAAGGCAGUUGAUGGUGGUUGGUCCUCAUGGGGGUCAUGGGGGAGGUGCAGUGUAACUUGUGGUGGUGGAUCGCAGAGACGAUAUCGCAGCUGUACCAAUCCACCGCGAGUGUGGCCUGGAAUGUAUUGCCAAGGACCUAGUCACAUGAACCAAGCUUGCAACAUAAAUCAUUGUCCAGUCCAUGGUGGCUGGAAUGAGUGGAGUGCUUGGAGUGUCUGCUCCAAAACAGUCAGUGGCAUACAGAUAAGGUUCAGAGAAUGUUCUAAUCUAGAACCAGC
Stylophora pistillata is the source of this 802-nucleotide long non-coding RNA. NCBI's taxonomy places the organism in Eukaryota, Metazoa, Cnidaria, Anthozoa, Scleractinia, Pocilloporidae. The record is from RefSeq and is a predicted model, not a curated record.